AAAGAUUAUACCAAAAAUUUUGAUUUUGACUUGAUUUUAUGAUAUGUUGUAGAUUUAUGGAUGAUUUACACGAUGACAAAAAAUUUUAAUUUUUAGAUUAUAUAUAAUUUUUAAAAAUUAAAAAUUAAAAAUAAAUAAAUUUUUAAAAAAAUGUAAAAUCAGAAGCAUAUUUAGGGGCAUGCAAGCUACUUUUCGGCUAAAUUUGGUGUCCAUUUAUUCAAGUUUUGAUGCGAUCAUAUGCAUAGUGACCGAGGCCUAAUUUUGAAAAAAAUUGAGAAACAAAUAUCCUUUGAUAUAUGCCCUCGGGCCUAAAUCUGGUGCAUCUAAGGCAUUGUCUUCUGGGGCUACUAUCUUACACAAUCCAGAGCAUCUUACGGAUCAGAUUUUGUUGCCAUUAUAUUCGGAUGAGCCCCUCUACAGCCGUAUUAUCAGCCAGAGGACACCUCUCAGAGGUAAAGCUUCAGCGAGAGAUCCUAGAGUGCUUAUAACCCAAAGCACAUUCUUUAUGUUAGAGGGUUGCUUAAUUAGAGGGGUGGGUUGAUAUGCCUCUUGAUUAUGUUAAUGAUCCGGAUAUCUAUGAGAGGCAUUGCCAUGCUAUGAAAUUUUAAAUAUCGGUAUAUAUAUUGUACUUUAAAUAUAUGUAAUUGAUUAUAUUAUUUUAUAUUUUUUACCUUACUAGUUGAUUUUAGGAUAUUUUAUGUUGCUUCUUGUAGCAUGCAACAUCUCAUUAAUCUUUUUAUAUUUUGUAUCACUUUAAAAUAAUAAGAUGCAUUAUUUAGGUUAAAUCGGGAUCGUAGAAACAUCAAGAAACAUCAAAUGAUACUUAAAAUCAUUGAAAAAGUUGAAAAAAAAUUGAUUACCAAUUAAUCAAACUUGGAAAACUUUUUAAAAAAAAUUAGGUGUGCCGGUUCGGAACGGGCACGCCCAAGCGUACCGACAAACUGGCAAGCCUAAGCGUAUCGUGUGUCGGUAUGGUACUGGUUCGCCCACUGACCGGUAUGGGUUCCAGUACCGGUUUGGCAGACCUUGUUCUGAACAAUGUACUCAAAACCAUAUCCUUCAGGUGGUUUAAUCCAAGAAUAGUAGGCCCCAAAUCAUAUCCUUUGAUAUAGUUUAGCCCAAAGUGGCACAUUAAAAAGAGGGCCCACAACCAUGCCCUUUAAGGUGAUGUAGGCCAAAACAAUCGAAGUCAUGAAAAAUGGGUUUAUAGACAUAUUCUUUCAUGGUGGUUUGGCUCCAAGGACUUUCAAAGUCUUUAAAAUGUAGCCAUUUCCUUUAGGAAUAGCUUUUCUUUUUAAUCAAAAUAGAUCUCUAAGUAUUUUUUGAACUAGGAAGAAACAACAAGAGAGACCCCUUAGUCUCUAAACUAGAGAAAUUGAAGACUGACCUUUAAGUCUCUAAAUUGGGCAAAUUUAACAUAGGACCCUAACCCUAAGUCUCUAAACUAGACAGAUUCAAAAUAGACCUCUGAGUCUUUAAACUGAAUAAAUUUAAGAAAGACCUCUAUGUCUCGAAACUGGACAAAUUGAAGAUAGACCUCUAGGUCUAUAAGAUGGACAAAUUCAGGAUACACCUCUAAGUCUUUAAACUAGCCAAAAUUAAAAGACUUCUAAGUCUCUAAGCUGGUUAUAUUUAAGACAGGCAGUCCCUUAAACUAGGCAAACUAAAUUCAAGAAGGACCGAUAAGUCCUAAAACUUGGUAAACUUAAGUUGGAUUUCAAAAUCUUUAUACUGUGCUUUUCUACUUAAUCUCCUGUUCUUGACUCCUGGUAAAUGUAGAUCUACUCGUAAAACAAUGUAUAAUAGGGAUUUAAUCCAUGUAAAUUUGAUUAAAUUGCAAUAAACCUACAUUAUAUUUUCACUGAUUUUCUAUAGUAACUUUUUAAGGGCUCUUAAUCGAUGGAAAAAGGGAUGAUGAAUAAUAAGCUCUUGAGCUUGCUGGGAGCCAU
Molecule: long non-coding RNA, 1949 nt
Filed under: Phoenix dactylifera (date palm)
Lineage: Eukaryota; Viridiplantae; Streptophyta; Magnoliopsida; Arecales; Arecaceae
Description: long non-coding RNA (PDAC_LNC009469)
Source: RNAcentral